AUGGGGGAGGAGUGCAAGGGCGCGGGGGCGGACGUGAACGCCGGCGUCGACCCGGCGGUGAUCGAGAAGCUGUACGAGGACGUGCCGCCGAUGCCGCUGAUGGCGCUGAACCACAUCUCCCGCCUCUGCAAGUCCGUCGACGCCUCCGUCCGGUUCUACGUCAAGGCUCUCGGCUUCGUCCUCAUCCACCGCCCUCCCGCGCUCGACUUCUCCGGCGCCUGGCUGUUCAACUACGGCAUCGGGAUCCAUCUCGUCCAGAGAGACGACGCGCGACGGGCCGCCGACGUCAACCCCGGCGAGCUGGACCCCAUGGACAAUCACAUCUCGUUCCAGUGUGAGGACAUGGGCGCGAUGGAGAGGAGGCUGAAGGAGAUGGGGAUCAGGUACAUGAAGAGGACCAUCAACGAGGAGGAGGGUUCGCCGAUCGACCAGCUCUUCUUCAAGGACCCAGACGGCUUCAUGAUCGAGAUCUGCAACUGCGAGAACCUCGAGCUUGUCCCCGCCGGCGCGCUCGGUCGCCUCAGGCUGCCCCGCGACCGCCACAACCCGCCUCUCCGGAUGGACGGCGCCGACGAGUAG
RNAcentral lists this ribosomal RNA (579 nucleotides) under Triticum aestivum (bread wheat). RNAcentral describes it as "partial small subunit ribosomal RNA". The record is from RNAcentral. Lineage: Eukaryota; Viridiplantae; Streptophyta; Magnoliopsida; Poales; Poaceae.